GUGUCUAUGUCUGAUUGCAGGAAAGAUCUAUAGUGUUCAGGAACUGUCCUUUUUAUCUCAAGGUACAGCUUGAUGUCAUCUGCAUAUUUCAUCACUGUGGCAUUCUUUAAGUUGGCAUCUAUGUCAUUAAUGUAUGCAACAAACAAAAGGGGACCACACGCAAAAGAGGUUGGGAUAAGAUAAAUAAGAAUUUAGUUUCCAAGUCUGUUGUGGCUGAGAAAAGCCAGCCUUUCAAAUACAGAUCGUUUGAGUAGAUUUAAU
This is a long non-coding RNA of Octopus sinensis (East Asian common octopus), 261 nucleotides long. RefSeq lists it as uncharacterized. The record is from RefSeq and is a predicted model, not a curated record. The transcript is spliced from 3 exons. Lineage: Eukaryota; Metazoa; Mollusca; Cephalopoda; Octopoda; Octopodidae.